RNAcentral lists this ribosomal RNA (255 nucleotides) under uncultured bacterium. Its description in RNAcentral is "partial 16S ribosomal RNA". It matches the Rfam family "Bacterial small subunit ribosomal RNA", at positions 524 to 777 of the family's 1533-position model. The record is from RNAcentral.
UACAGGGGGUGCAAACGUUGCUCGGAAUCAUUGGGCGUAAAGCGCACGUAGGCGGCAUUGCAAGUCGGAUGUGAAAUCCCUCGGCUUAACCAAGGAAGUGCAUCCGAAACUGCAGUGCUUGAGUACUUAAGAGGAUCGCGGAAUUCCCGGUGUAGAGGUGAAAUUCGUAGAUAUCGGGAGGAACACCAGUGGCGAAGGCGGCGAUCUGGGAAGAUACGUGACGCUGAGGUGCGAAAGCGUGGGGAGCAAACAGGG